UGGAUCCAGACUUUGAUUCUGGCUCAGGACGAACGCUGGCGGCGCGCCUAACACAUGCAAGUCGAACGGAGAUUACAGGCGGAAGUUUUCGGAUGGAAGCUUGUAAACUUAGUGGCGGACGGGUGAGUAACACGUGAGCAACCUGCCUAUCAGAGGGGGAUAACGAUUGGAAACGAUCGCUAAUACCGCAUGACAUAGCGGAACCGCAUGGUUCUGUUAUCAAAGAUUUUAUCGCUGAUAGAUGGGCUCGCGUCCGAUUAGAUAGUUGGUGGGGUAACGGCCUACCAAGUCGACGAUCGGUAGCCGGACUGAGAGGUCGAACGGCCACAUUGGGACUGAGACACGGCCCAGACUCCUACGGGAGGCAGCAGUGGGGGAUAUUGCACAAUGGGGGAAACCCUGAUGCAGCGACGCCGCGUGAGGGAAGACGGUCCUCUGGAUUGUAAACCUCUGUCUUCGGGGACGAAACGAGACGGUACCCGAGGAGGAAGCCACGGCUAACUACGUGCCAGCAGCCGCGGUAAUACGUAGGUGGCAAGCGUUGUCCGGAAUUACUGGGUGUAAAGGGAGCGUAGGCGGGCAGGCAAGUCAGGCGUGAAAUAUAUCGGCUCAACCGGUAACGGCGCUUGAAACUGCAGGUCUUGAGUGAAGUAGAGGUUGGCGGAAUUCCUAGUGUAGCGGUGAAAUGCGUAGAUAUUAGGAGGAACACCAGUGGCGAAGGCGGCCAACUGGGCUUUUACUGACGCUGAGGCUCGAAAGUGUGGGGAGCAAACAGGAUUAGAUACCCUGGUAGUCCACACCGUAAACGAUGAUUACUAGGUGUGGGGGGACUGACCCCUUCCGUGCCGGAGUUAACACAAUAAGUAAUCCACCUGGGGAGUACGGCCGCAAGGUUGCAACUCAAAGGAAUUGACGGA
This 917-nucleotide ribosomal RNA is filed under the name uncultured Bacillota bacterium. RNAcentral's name for it is "bacterial SSU rRNA". It matches the Rfam family "Bacterial small subunit ribosomal RNA", at positions 1 to 917 of the family's 1533-position model. The record is from RNAcentral. Lineage: Bacteria; Bacillati; Bacillota.